CGGCGAACGGGUGAGGAACACGUGAGGAAUCUACCUUCAACACUGGGAUAACUCCGGGAAACCGGGGCUAAUACCGGAUACGAGAUCGGCAGGCAUCUGCUGAUCUGGAAAGUUUUUCGGUUGAAGAUGACCUCGCGGCCUAUCAGCUUGUUGGUGAGGUAAUGGCUCACCAAGGCGACGACGGGUAGCCGGCCUGAGAGGGCGACCGGCCACACUGGGACUGAGACACGGCCCAGACUCCUACGGGAGGCAGCAGUGGGGAAUAUUGGGCAAUGGAGGAAACUCUGACCCAGCGACGCCGCGUGCGGGAUGAAGGCCUUCGGGUUGUAAACCGCUUUCAGCAGGGAAGAAGCGAAAGUGACGGUACCUGCAGAAGAAGCACCGGCUAACUAUGUGCCAGCAGCCGCGGUAAUACAUAGGGUGCAAGCGUUGUCCGGAAUUAUUGGGCGUAAAGAGCUCGUAGGUGGUUCGUCACGUCGGAUGUGAAAAUCUAGGGCUUAACCCUAGACCUGCAUUCGAUAC
Molecule: ribosomal RNA, 522 nt
Filed under: uncultured Actinomycetales bacterium
Lineage: Bacteria; Bacillati; Actinomycetota; Actinomycetes; Actinomycetales
Description: bacterial SSU rRNA
Rfam family: Bacterial small subunit ribosomal RNA
Source: RNAcentral